This 630-nucleotide ribosomal RNA is filed under the name uncultured Bacilli bacterium. RNAcentral describes it as "bacterial SSU rRNA". It matches the Rfam family "Bacterial small subunit ribosomal RNA", at positions 97 to 713 of the family's 1533-position model. The record is from RNAcentral. Lineage: Bacteria; Bacillati; Bacillota; Bacilli.
UGCGAACGGGUGAGUAACGCGUAGGUAACCUGCCUGGUAGCGGGGGAUAACUAUUGGAAACGAUAGCUAAUACCGCAUGAUAUUAAUUGUUGCAUGAUAAUUAAUUGAAAGAUGCAAUUGCAUCACUACCAGAUGGACCUGCGUUGUAUUAGCUAGUUGGUGAGGUAACGGCUCACCAAGGCGACGAUACAUAGCCGACCUGAGAGGGUGAUCGGCCACACUGGGACUGAGACACGGCCCAGACUCCUACGGGAGGCAGCAGUAGGGAAUCUUCGGCAAUGGGGGGAACCCUGACCGAGCAACGCCGCGUGAGUGAAGAAGGUUUUCGGAUCGUAAAGCUCUGUUGUAAGAGAAGAACGAGUGUGAGAGUGGAAAGUUCACACUGUGACGGUAUCUUACCAGAAAGGGACGGCUAACUACGUGCCAGCAGCCGCGGUAAUACGUAGGUCCCGAGCGUUGUCCGGAUUUAUUGGGCGUAAAGCGGAGCGCAGGCGGUUAGAUAAGUCUGAAGUUAAAUGGCUGUGGCUUAACCAUAGUAUGCUUUGGAAACUGUUUAACUUGAGUGCAGAAGGGGAGAGUGGAAUUCCAUGUGUAGCGGUGAAAUGCGUAGAUAUAUGGAGGAACACCGGU